RNAcentral lists this transfer RNA (73 nucleotides) under Aeromonas phage phiAS4. It matches the Rfam family "tRNA". From Rfam's summary of the family: Transfer RNA (tRNA) molecules are approximately 80 nucleotides in length. Their secondary structure includes four short double-helical elements and three loops (D, anti-codon, and T loops). The record is from Rfam by way of RNAcentral. Lineage: Duplodnaviria; Heunggongvirae; Uroviricota; Caudoviricetes; Pantevenvirales; Straboviridae.
GCAUCUCUAACUCAAUUGGUAGAGUAGCGGACCUUUAAUCCGUCAAGUCUGAGUUCGAGUCUCAGGGGAUGCA